AGUGAACGCUGGCGGUAGGCCUAACACAUGCAAGUCGAACGGCAGCACAGUAAGAGCUUGCUCUUACGGGUGGCGAGUGGCGGACGGGUGAGGAAUACAUCGGAAUCUACUUUUUCGUGGGGGAUAACGUAGGGAAACUUACGCUAAUACCGCAUACGACCUACGGGUGAAAUCAGGGGAUCUUCGGACCUUGCGCGAUUGAAUGAGCCGAUGUCGGAUUAGCUAGUUGGCGGGGUAAAGGCCCACCAAGGCGACGAUCCGUAGCUGGUCUGAGAGGAUGAGCAGCCACACUGGAACUGAGACACGGUCCAGACUCCUACGGGAGGCAGCAGUGGGGAAUAUUGGACAAAGGGCGCAAGCCUGAUCCAGCCAUACCGCGUGGGUGAAGAAGGCCUUCGGGUUGUAAAGCCCUUUUGUUGGGAAAGAAAAGCAGCAGGUUAAUACCCCGCUGUUCUGACGGUACCCAAAGAAUAAGCACCGGCUAACUUCGUG
This 492-nucleotide ribosomal RNA is filed under the name uncultured bacterium. Its description in RNAcentral is "partial 16S ribosomal RNA". It matches the Rfam family "Bacterial small subunit ribosomal RNA", at positions 29 to 507 of the family's 1533-position model. The record is from RNAcentral.